This is a long non-coding RNA of Pangasianodon hypophthalmus (striped catfish), 4646 nucleotides long. RefSeq lists it as uncharacterized. The record is from RefSeq and is a predicted model, not a curated record. NCBI's taxonomy places the organism in Eukaryota, Metazoa, Chordata, Actinopteri, Siluriformes, Pangasiidae. The transcript has 2 exons.
AUUUUCUUUCUAAAGUUAAAAUGCUACUAAAUAAAACAGCUUGUAACUGAUUAUAUAACUGCUUUAAACAAUGUAACAAAUACACAUGAAAGCUCUGAGGCCCUACACUGUGCAAGGCCAAGUAUGAAUGUGCCUUUGAAAAACAAGCCAGGCCAGAGAGAGAGAGACAGAAAGAAAGGGGAAAAAAGGACGAUUGGCCUUUUGCAUAAAAAAUGCUGAAUCACAGGUAUGAUGUGGUUGUUGGUACGAAGCCAUAAUAUCUGUAAUAAUGACCAACCACAAUGUCCUAUAUAUGCCAAUAGAUUUAUAAAGGCUCAUCAGACCCAUAAGUAAUACUCAUCAGGACAAGUCAUUGACAAAUAAGUCAUCAUUAAUCUGCUAUUAAACUCACAAUCCUCUUUCUAUAUACAUUUUCACUAACUGAGCACUAUAAUGUAGUCUAAACCUAUUUGACCUUGUGUCAAGGACAUAUUUUUUGCUUGUCUGGAGUUUUAAUCUCCUAACAGCAUAUUGCUCAGAUUUCUCCCUCUCUCUCCUCUCCUCUGUCACUCCAAAACACACAGUCAGUAAAGCUCUAGUGGAGAUAUUUACCUUAACACUGGCUUGGAAUAAUUUUAUCAGGCCUAAACGCAGAUGAAAGAGGGACGUUUUCAUUCCCAUCGUCGGAUCCUUUAACACAGGGCUUUUACAGAGGGGUCGGCUUGCGACGCCUCAGAGCAACAAAACCAGAAUAACCAUCUUUUCUGCCUGAUGGUUUUUUUUUUUUUUCUUAAGAAAAUGAAAUCCAGCAUAAUUUAAGAGCGCAGCCUCUGUGGAGUGAAACUGCUGGAAAUUCUUGGGGCUGAUUUUUGUUAAGAGCCUUUAUGCAAACCAUCCCCCUCAUUUUCUUGCUGAAGACAGGAUGAAGGAGAAAAAAAAUGCAUGAGCUCUUCAUUUCUCAGAGACAGACAGAGAGAUUUCAUCAGCUUUUAUUAAGGUAAUGGACAUUUCACUGCAGGGGAAACAUUUUAAGUGUAAGCUUGUUUUUUAAAACUAUAUAUAUAUAUAUAUAUAUAUUUAUAUUAUUUGCAUUUAUUGCCAUGUCCUAAUUUACAAGAAUUUGCAAACCAAACAUGAAUUGUUGUUUUUCUGCAAUUAAAAUUUUUCAAACCCUUCAUUAGCCUUUUUUUCCUGCUAUAAACUGCAAUUCUGCAUCAAGAUAAAUAAUUACUUUUUAAUGAAUAUUUUUGCUUUUUAGUUUUAAUCUUAGUUUGAACCUCUCCUUUUUGGCAAGUUGAAAAACAUGCUGCUCUUUAAUGGCUGCUUAGCUGUUGUCUGUUUUCAAAAUGGCGGAGUUUCUAACAGCAGCAGCAGCAGCAGGAGGAAGAAGAAGAAGCCGGUCCGCCAUUUCUGGGCGAGCCACACUCACAUACUACCUUACUAAAUAGUAUGUGAAAACUCCUUCACUUGAAGUUCAUCGAUUAUGUUUAUUAACAUUACCAUUUCGUUAAAGAAGACGACAAGGAUAGACUUUAAACAUUACACACUACCUUACUACAUAGUAUGUCAAAUUAAUAUGCGACCUGAGGUUUUGACAUACUAUUUAGUAGAGAAGUAUGAAGGCUUUGGAACGUAGCCAUGGUGACCUACGAGCGCCAAUAGAGGCGCAGCAUUCUCGGGCUUCCAUUUCACGCGCAGACAUUCUAACGUUCUAUUCUUCUGUUUUUAAAGGGUUUUAAUAAUCUAGAAAGUUUGGACCCAAGAUGGCGGGUUUUAACCAUAUAAGGACAUAAAAGUAGCUUAAAAUUUCAGUUACAGAGCAAAACGGGCAUUUGCUCGUCUCGUUUUCUGUAACCCCACCUUCGAGAAUGUUCCACACAGUAACUCGAUACAGGACAAGGAGUAAAGCAGAAGCUGAGAGAGAAAGAAUGGACAUUUUGUUCUAUGAUUUUGAGCACACGUGAUAUGUCUGCAAAUAGUGAGUGGUAUGUGGUGUGUAGAUCUGCGUGUAUACUGUCUUUCCCCCAUUUUAUGCAUUCAUUUUAUUGUAUUUAAUAUUUUGCAGUGUAGUGCAUGCAUUUUCCAAGGCAACUGUGUGUCUUUUUUUCCCUCCUCAGCACCUAGGCUGGGAGCAUUGCAGGAAACUAGUUACAUGUUCAGAAGCUUUCAUGGGGUCAAAUAUUCAGCAGUAAACCUAAAUGGUGCUAAAUCCUGGGUCCUGUCCAGGUUUCUUCCUAAUAUUUCUACACGAGAAAGAAAUCUUGAUAUGAAAUAUGAUUUAGAUGGUGGAAAAUGUUAACAGUGGGUACUGGCAUUCGAGUAGGAAAGGCACAAAUGUAGUGUACAAGUGAAAAAUUGAUUCAUGUCUCAGACAGAAUACAGAUCCAUGAGAUCCAACACCGACCACCAGAAUACUGCUGGGCAUAAGCAUUAUAAUGAACGAAUAUGAGAACAUGGAUGCGUCACAUGUUAAAAACAAGCUUCGAGUAGCUUCAUGCAGUUGGUCUAACCUCACAACAUAGCAGGAGUAAAAAUGGGAGCAGCCUGGAGGGUGGAGGGCACACGCAGCUCCCACAGAAGUGCUUUUGUCUGGUUCUAUUUUAAACACACAGAGGGACGGACAGAGAGAAACCCUGCUGACUGCUGUCAAGAAACUGGUUUCAUUUGCACCGGAUCCAUAAAGAAGAUUAUCAUCAUUUGAAUAGGUAUCUGUUAGGCCAUGUUUGUGAGUACACUCUGACAGUACGGCUGAUUUAGGAGCUAAUCAAUGUUGGCUGGUUAAAGAUCUGCAGAUGUGGAGAAUUUCCAGUGGAUUGAGUUUAGGGUUCAAAGGUCAGAUUAUGCGGUUAAACCUAUGACAGCAUGACUACAGGGUUUGCACACAGUGUUUGUAUUUAAAUAUAGCAUUUUGAAAAGGAAGUACUCUUUAUUGAGACUUGCUUCAAAAGUGAUUGAACGAGAGAGAAUUACUAUGGAAAUGAUAUCAUUAUCUAUCUCUGAUUAUGUAUGCAAUUCAUAUAACCUUACUCGUUUCAUCUUAAUCAGUACGUGAAAUGAAAUGCUGAAAUAUGACUGGCAAAUGAGGCGUUGUUCAGCAAACAUUUUUUUUCUAUAAAACCAGUUAAUACAAGACAAUUCCUUGAAUGUCCUGGCAUUUCAUUAAGUUCAUUUAAAGUGCUGCAAAUUAAUGAUGUUUAAGAGGAAAUUACUAAUUACUAAUUGUCGAUACUUAGUAACAUAAGAAUUACACAAUUCUGUAUAUUGUAUAUUAUUUCAAUAACAUAAGCAUGAUAUUUUUGUGUCAUGCAUACAUGUAAAAAUACAAAUGUUUAUAUUGCUUUAUAUAUUUUUGUGUAUUGUGCAUAUUUUUUAAGGCCCACAGUCUUUUUCAUCUUUUGUUCUGCUCUGCCUUAUGCUCGCUCUUUCUCUCUCACGCACACUCAAGGAUCUGACUGGCUGUUGAGUGAAUCAUUUACACAUUCCUAUGUUCUAUGUUUCUAUGUACAUAUAAAUCAUGAAUAAAACACUGUAUAGCCGUGAGAGUGUAGGUGUGUGUGGGUGUCAUAUGACUCACAUGGAGAAUUAAAGAAGAAAAUCUGGUUUCACUGAUUGCACUAAACACCUCCCUCAGAAGCUGUGUGUUUUCAGAUGCCGUGUCAUUAAAGGCUGUUUGAAAUACACCAGUGAAAUGAAGACUGCUUUCUGAGAGUGUUCAAUAAGAAUGUACUGUAUUACACAAUCUGAAAAUGUGAAGAAAAUAGUAGAAAUAGUGGUACAUGUCAAUGAGGUACAAGUCAAGAGAAAGCGUAAGCCACUUGUAUCGAAAUCGGUCAAGUAUUCAGCGGAUCACAUGGGACGGAGUAUUUUUGAUGGCACCUCAUGGCAUUUUUAUAGACUUUUGUGUGUGUGUGUGUGUGUGUGCGACUGAAUUCCGAGGAAGCAUACUGCUAAGUAAAGAUGCACAUCUAGGGUGCAGCCUACACGCAGCGCUACUGAGUGUAGUUACAUUUACAAUACAUUUACCUCAUUUGGCUGAUGAUUUUAUCCAAAAUGACUUAUAAUUGAGACAGGAUACUGGUGAGCAGUUGAGGGUUAAGGGGCCCAACAGUGGCAGCUCAGCGAUGCUGGAAAUGAUCUUGUUAUCUUCCUAUCAGUAGUCCAUUCCCAUAACCACUGAGCCACCACUGCCCAGACAUGUAGUAUGAGCAAGUUUCUUCAGUGUGACAAGGAGCUGCACUAAGAAGUAGUGUGUCCAGAAAGGCUUGUCAAAGAUUUUCAUAGCAAACUCACCACACAAGCAGUAGAGAGCUCUAAAACUACAACCUGUUUCUUUAAUACUUUUUUUUGCAUGAAAUUAACUUCAUCAAAGUGGAACAGAAAUUUUUUUUCUUCUAUGGUAAAAGCACCAUUUCCCAUUUUCUUAGCUCUCAUGUUUCUCUUCUUUAACAUUACAAUAAAAGAGAAGAAAAAUACGGCCUUUUUACUCACUGGCCUUUUUAUUCUCUUGUAACUUCGUUUAUUAUGAAGUUCUAGGUCUUACCUUAUAUGUUCAAGUAGUAAUGUAAGCACUUAAGUGCCUUGUAAUUAAUUUUAAUGUUCUAUUUCUAAGUAUUGGUGUUUCCUGUAUGGUUAUUUACAUGUACUGGAAUAAAAAACCUUUUAAACUG